Molecule: microRNA, 21 nt
Filed under: Callorhinchus milii (elephant shark)
Lineage: Eukaryota; Metazoa; Chordata; Chondrichthyes; Chimaeriformes; Callorhinchidae
Also listed under: 1 other name
Description: Cmi-Mir-12487_3p (mature (guide))
Source: RNAcentral
AUUCUAAUUGUCAUCACUCAG